UACGGAGGGUGCGAGCGUUAAUCGGAAUUACUGGGCGUAAAGGGUGCGUAGGUGGUUUAAUAAGUUAGCUGUGAAAUCCCUGGGCUUAACCUGGGCAGGUCAGCUAAGACUGUUAGACUAGAGUAUAGGAGAGGGUAGUGGAAUUUCCGGUGUAGCGGUGAAAUGCGUAGAGAUCGGAAGGAACACCAGUGGCGAAGGCGGCUACCUGGCCAGAUACUGACACUGAGGCACGAAAGCGUGGGGAGCAAACAGG
RNAcentral lists this ribosomal RNA (253 nucleotides) under uncultured bacterium. Its description in RNAcentral is "partial 16S ribosomal RNA". It matches the Rfam family "Bacterial small subunit ribosomal RNA", at positions 524 to 776 of the family's 1533-position model. The record is from RNAcentral.